GUUUGCUGGCCAAACUGGGCGAGACCUCGCCUUUGCCACUUUCAUUCAGCAGCUGUUCUCAAUCUCCUCGUGAAACGAACUUUUUUUCUCGUCGAUAUCUGAAUAUUUACAUUCCAGAUCGUUCGAGGGGUCAUUCAAAGAAAUGUCAUCGUCUCCUUCGGAAGUAACUUCAGAGCCUCGUUGACUUUGGACUUCAAUCAAGCUUUCGGUUGCCUCACCUUCUGCCGCUACCGGAGGAGCGCAAACGUCUUCAUCGGUGCUGGAGUCCACAGGAUCUUCAUUAAAGCACCUUUCUGGUUUCCUCUGAGCGUUUUGCGCGAUUCUCCUUCUGUUCUGGCGAUCGGACAACUCUGACACCAAACGCUCCAUUCUCUACAAUAAGAGGUAACAAAAUACCACGUACCUUGCUUUGCGUUAUUUCCAUGGCGAACGGCGAUUGAGCGAUAGGACGAUGGUGCAGAUAGCGGUUUCGAAAGCCUCGGCCUUGCGGGGGAACACUGCCGGCUACGCAAACAAAAGAAAAGUACUACUUCUGGCUAUGGCUAGAGACGAAAGGCCUAGAGACCGAUAGAGUCCAGAAAGGCUCCGUAGACUUUCGAUCAUUUUAUUAAUGAACAAAAUACACAUUUCUAUUGUAUAUAGUAUCAAAUAACAAGUACAAUUUUCAAGUGUAAAAUUGUUUUUAAUCACUCUAGCACUUUAGGCGAUAAUGAAGUUUGGUUGUAGUUUGGUUGUGUCGGUGAACAUUGGUCGACUUCGCUAGGUUGCGCAAGCUACAGCCCGUUACAAAGGGUAUAGCUCUUAACAUUUAUCCAUUCAUCCAGGCAACGUACACAAAAUGGGGUCUGUGUUUUUCCCGUUAUCCAAGCAUUUUUUUCGAUAACACCGAUUGAGAGCAGACGAAGUAAUCCGCGUACAACCUUUUCAUCCUCAGAAGGUUAAAACCUUCUGUUUACGAGUGCUCCAUCUGCGCAUGCUCUUUGAUAGGCGCUUCAGAUGUGUGGGUAAUGAAUUCAUAUCGCGGGUGACAAAACCGUGCAGAACGAAAAAUCUGCGAGCGCUCUACACGGCCCUUGUACUUCCCGUACAUCCCAUUCUAGACUUGAGUAUUGCUCGGCGACCUGGUCCCCGUCCCAGCAGCAUCUCCGGGAACGGCUCGAAAGUGUGCAGCACCGUGCGACACGGAUCAUCUGUGGCACGGCGGACGGCUUGUAUGGUGCACGUCUGGGUGCCCUUGGACGGAGAAUUCCUCCCCCCCCCCCCCCCCAGCGAGAGGGGACGGGCCUCACGGAUGCGCGCACUGUGCCGGAUGCUCGAUGGACCGCUUUCCGGGAUCUCGUUGUACUCCGCAGUGCGAACAAGCAAAAGAACUGGGCAGCCUGAGCCUUUUCGUGGGAGGACCACCCGCCAGAGCAAAUCCCUGCUCCCGGCGAAGGUGGUUCCCUGCACCUUGCACCCCUCUUAGAAAGACAAGUGGCUCCUAGCCGCACGAAACCAGCAAUAACAGGUAUGUGGUACCCUUAUAUGUCCGGGGCCGCACGCGCGUUGCAGUGAAGGAAGCGGCGUGUUUUUAUCCCUGUCUGUAAGGACUGGGUAACCCGUCGAAUCUCCUUCGCGAUUGGGAUAGGGGCUUGCAAUUGUUCCCCUUGAACGAGGAAUUCCCAGUAAGCGCGAGUCGCAAGCUCGCGUUGAUUACGUCCCUACCCUUUGCACACACCGCCCGUCGCUACUACCGAUUGAAUGAUUUAGUAAGGUCUUCGGACCGAUACCCUGAGCGGCCUUUCAGUUGCGCCGCUGUGUUGGAAAGAACCGAACUUUAUCAUUUAGAGGAAGUGAAAAUCGUAACAUGGUUAUAAAAGACCAAGA
Non-coding RNA from Ixodes scapularis (black-legged tick), 1866 nucleotides. Lineage: Eukaryota; Metazoa; Arthropoda; Arachnida; Ixodida; Ixodidae. The record is from Rfam.